RNAcentral lists this long non-coding RNA (1281 nucleotides) under Junco hyemalis (dark-eyed junco). RNAcentral describes it as "lncRNA (ENSJHYG00000000488.1)". The record is from RNAcentral. Lineage: Eukaryota; Metazoa; Chordata; Aves; Passeriformes; Passerellidae.
GGGGGAGCCCCAAAAUCGGGAGAAUUCCCCCCAAAAAGGGGGAGCCCCCCAUAAAUACAGAAACAACAAAAAAAGGGAAUUUCGGGGCCGUUUUGGGGCGGAUUCGGGGAAAUUCGGGGUCCCCCCGGCCCGGAUUUGGGGGGAAAUGCAGGAAUUUGGGAAAAACCCCAAAAUCCCAGGAAAUGACCCAAAAAUCUGGGGGGAAACCCAAAAUCCUGGGAAAUGACCCCAAAAAUGGGAGGAAAAUCCUGAAAUUGUAGGAAAUUACCCCAAAAAAUCCAAAAUUCUGGGAAAUAGACCCCCAAAAAUCUCAAGAAAACCAAAAAUUGUGGGAAAUGACCCCAAAAAUUGGUGGACAACCCAAAAUUGUGGGAAAUUGCCCCAGAAAUUGAGGGAAAAGCAAAAAAUUUGGGAAAAGACCCCAAAAAUUGGGAGGAAAACUAAAAAUCCAGGGAAACGACCCCAAAAUUGUGGGAAAUGACCCCAAAAAUUGGUGGGAAAACCCAAAAUUUUGGGAAAUUGCCCCAAAAUUCCAGAGGGAAAAAUGAAAUAAAAAUGGACAAAAAAUUCCACCAAAAGAUAAAUUUGGGGGAAAAAGCCCCAAAAUCGGGGAAAUUUGGGGGAAAUUGGGUAAAAUCCCAAAAGUGGGCGGGGUCAGGGCGGGAAGUCCCAAAUUUGGGCAUUUUCCAACAAAAAUUUGGGGUUUUAUCCGCAUAAAAUUUGACAUUUAUUCCCUCCCAAAUUUGAGGAUUUUUUCCCCAGGAUUUUGGGGUUUUUUCCCUAAAUUUGUUGUUUUUUUUUUUUUCUUCAGAAUUUUGGGACAUUCUCCUCAAAAUCUGAGAUUUUUUUUCCCCACAAAAAUCUGAGAUUUUGCUUUUCAGAAUUUGGGGGUUUUUCCCUCUGAAUUUUGGGAAUUUUUCCCCAAAAAUUCCAUUUUCCACCCAAAAUUUCCAUCUUUCUCCCCAAAUCUGAGUUGGUUUCUCAAGAAUUUUUCCAUCAUUUCCCCCAAAACUUGGAAUUUUGCCCCCAAACUUGGGUGGCUUUUUUUCCCCAGAAUUUUGGGACAUUUUCCCCAAAAUUUGAGAUUAUUUUUUUCCCCCCCAAAAUUUUGGGAUAAUUUCCCCCAAAAUUCCCAUUUUCCUCCUCAAAUCUGGGUUGGUUUUUCCCAGAAUUUUGGGACAUUUUCCCCCAAAUUUUUUGGGUAUUUCCCCCCAAAUUUUUGGAAUAAUUUCCCCCAAAUUUUGGAAUAAAUUCCCCCAAAUUUUUGGGAUAAAUUCCCCC